This 864-nucleotide long non-coding RNA is filed under the name Olea europaea subsp. europaea. Lineage: Eukaryota; Viridiplantae; Streptophyta; Magnoliopsida; Lamiales; Oleaceae. The record is from RNAcentral.
GCUUGGUUGUCUUUUCCUUUUUAAUUUUUCUAUUGUACUUUAUUAAAGUAAAAGCAUAAAUUAGAAUGAAGUAUAUUUUAUUAAUGAAUCAAGAAACUCUUCAAGAAAAUAUGUAUCUGCAUGAUCUUUCAAAUCAUCCUUGUACACAAAUUACAGAUUUUAGGAAUUCCAUUUUAUUUUUUUUUGGCAUGAGAAUAUGGAUCCACAAGAUUUCAAUAAUCGACACACUACCAAUAAUUGAGCCAAAUCUCGAGUAUCACAAGGAAUUUGCCUUUUCUACGGAGUCCUUUGGAUUGGAUCGAAAACAAUUCUUGAUCUCUAUACCAAUUCAACUCCAAUUCCACUUGAACGACUAUUUUCUUCACCAAUUUGCAGUGCAUUAGCUCUUGUUCUACAGAUUGGACAAGCAGCAGUUUUCAAAAGCCAUGAAUCUAUGCAUUGAACAUGAAAAAUAUGAUUACAAAUAGGUAGCAUCCUACACUUUUCACCUCCCUUGAAAUUCUCCAAACACACCACACAUUCUACUGAACUAUUCCCUUUCUCAUCGGCCUUGUAGUCGAAACAUGUCAGCUGUUUUAGGUCAACGGAUGACAAGCCCGGGAUUCGACUGACUCGACCCGGAAUAGAUAUUCGACCACUGAUAUAGUCCCCUCUGAAAGCCCUCCCAACAAUACAAACAUGAAUCAUGAUCAGAAUUGCUAUGCCAAUAACUAAUAGAAGUACAGAAAUGAUAAUUUGCAUGGACAUGGCCUUUGCUUGAGGAUCAUGUGAUUUGAAUGGAAAGGUUUCUGCAGACUCGAAUUCUAUUCCCAGAAGUUGUUUUCUUGGUGAGAAACUUGGUAGAUGGAAAGAAACUGAAAAAUG